GUUUCAGUCCCAUAAUGUUGUGCUCAUGAGUGGCGCAGCGGUCUUAAGGCACUGCAUCUCAGUGCAAGAGGUGUCACUACAGUCCCUGGUUCGAAUCCAGGUGGAAUGGUUUCUGUCCCAUAAUGUUGUUUAUUCCAGGUGGAGUGGUUUCAGUCCCAUAAUGUUGUUUAUUCCAGGUGGAGUGGUUUCAGUCCCAUAAUGUUGUUUAUUCCAGGUGGAAUGGUUUCAGUC
Non-coding RNA from Salvelinus sp. IW2-2015, 231 nucleotides. The record is from RefSeq and is a predicted model, not a curated record. NCBI's taxonomy places the organism in Eukaryota, Metazoa, Chordata, Actinopteri, Salmoniformes, Salmonidae.